RNAcentral lists this ribosomal RNA (650 nucleotides) under uncultured Bacteroidota bacterium. RNAcentral describes it as "bacterial SSU rRNA". It matches the Rfam family "Bacterial small subunit ribosomal RNA", at positions 60 to 711 of the family's 1533-position model. The record is from RNAcentral. Lineage: Bacteria; Pseudomonadati; Bacteroidota.
AGUCGAGGGGUAUAGGUUUUCGGACCUAGAGACCGGCGCACGGGUGCGUAACGCGUAUGCAAUCUACCUUUUACAGAGGGAUAGCCCAGAGAAAUUUGGAUUAAUACCUCAUAGUAUUAUUGAAUGGCAUCAUUUAAUAAUUAAAGUCACAACGGUAAAAGAUGAGCAUGCGUCCCAUUAGCUUGUUGGUAAGGUAACGGCUUACCAAGGCAACGAUGGGUAGGGGUCCUGAGAGGGAGAUCCCCCACACUGGUACUGAGACACGGACCAGACUCCUACGGGAGGCAGCAGUGAGGAAUAUUGGUCAAUGGGCGCAAGCCUGAACCAGCCAUGCCGCGUGCAGGAUGAAGCAUCUAUGGUGUGUAAACUGCUUUUGUACGAGAAGAAACACUCCUACGUGUAGGAGCUUGACGGUAUCGUAAGAAUAAGGACCGGCUAACUCCGUGCCAGCAGCCGCGGUAAUACGGAGGGUCCAAGCGUUAUCCGGAAUCAUUGGGUUUAAAGGGUCCGUAGGCGGUUUUGUAAGUCAGUGGUGAAAGCCCAUCGCUCAACGGUGGAACGGCCAUUGAUACUGCAAGACUUGAAUUAUUGGGAAGUAACUAGAAUAUGUAGUGUAGCGGUGAAAUGCUUAGAGAUUACAUGGAAUACCA